UAGUAAAAGAAAGCUAAACUUGAGCACAAUGUAAGUAAAGCUGUAAAAAAUUGAAAUGACUCCAUUAACCAUUGAGGAUCAUAAACAUAAAUCAUCAUGGUAGACAAAACAACAAUUAAUCUAAACCUAGAAUUAACAAAAACACAAAAUGUCAAAUCUUAUUCUUUUAUCUCCUUCACAAACUUCUUAAGGUUCUCAUAAGAUGUACCUCCUUUUGCUAUGUUGUUCAUCACUUUCUCCUUCAACACCACACACCUAAAUUUCAUGCUCUCAUCAUUACAUAAUUGUUCAACCUUGGUUUUCAACUCUCCGCGUGACACAACUCCAUUUUGAUCUUUGUCAAUUCCCAACCCAACCUUUAACUCAUCACAAAUAUGUGUUUUGUUGUAAGGUUGGUCUCCAAAGUAUGGCCAACACAAGAAAGGUACCCCAUUGGACAAACCUUCCAUGGUAGAAUUCCAACCACAAUGAGUGAGAAAACAUGCUAUGGCAGGGUGACUUAAAACCUUUUGUUGAGGAGCCCAAUUCACUAUCUUACCCUUAUGCCCUUGGAAUUCAUGAGGGUAUGCCAUUUUAUUGUCUUCUCUUAUAACCCAAAGAAAAGGUCUAUUGGUGAGGUCUAGUCCUAGGGCAAGUUCAUUGAAUUGGUUUUGGUCAAAAAGAGUGAUACUACCAAAGGCAACAUACAACACAGAACCAUCAGCUUGUUCAUCUAGCCAACUCAUGCAAGAGAGAUCUUCUUCCCAGAAUUGUCCCAAUGAUCUUAGAGUUACAUUAGUUUUGUAAUGAUGAUCACUUCUCAACAACGGACCAAUUGGAAGGAAACUCGGAACAAGGGUUAAUACGUGAGGUUCAAGUUCAUGUGCAGUAUCACAAAGCCACCAUUAAGUCAAAUUUAAAGCUGGAGUACAGUGAUGCACCAAGUAAUUAAGGUAAUGAGAACCAUCCAUAAGUCCAGNNNNNNNNNNNNNNNNNNNNNNNNNNNNNNNNNNNNNNNNNNNNNNNNNNNNNNNNNNNNNNNNNNNNNNNNNNNNNNNNNNNNNNNNNNNNNNNNNNNNCAUGACAUAAUUGAGAAGUAAAAUAUGUUUUUAGAUGGGCAUGGUAUUUAUUAAAACAGGACCAAACAAAAGCAUAAGGUGCCACACUUUAGAAACAAAGGCAACAAUACAAAAGUAUAGUAAAGUAUGAUAGUGUUCUUACCAUCUGAAUCUAUGAUCCCAUCAUCAACGAGCUUUGGAACACUGCUUACCAAAUGAAACAAAGUUGCAGAGGCAGGCCAAAACAGAGCUCCUUUGAUUUCCAAUUCACAGGCAACAUUCAAUAUCCAUCCAACAUGUACAUCUGCAACAAUAAACCUGAUUCUGUUGUCACCUUUCAAAUGAAUAUUAUUAUUAUCCUCUAUGAGCUUUUUAAGUGCUUCUGGCAUGGUGAUUAGCAUAGAAUCACAUAGCUUGCCCAAGUUGUUUCUGUCAUCAUCAGGUCCUAAGCCAUCUGGGAUUGAGACCAACUUCAGUGGUGAUUCUUCAUUGUAUUGAUCCACCAUUGAGCUCACCACUCUCUUGUGGUUGAAGUCUGUGUUCACAAAUAUGACUUUGCAUCCAUUCUCCACCAGCUUUUGUGAUAGGGUUAACAUGGGAUUCACAUGCCCUUGACAUGGAAAUGGGAAAACUAGCACAGUUGGAAUGCUCAUGCUGUGUUCUUGUGUUUGCACUUCACGGGUAUGGCUUUGUUUAUAUACUCUGAAAAUAUGACUACCAGUUGUUAUAGGCUCAUUGGAUUAAGGAUAAUUGGUAAAUAUUUGGAACCACAAAUUUAAGUUUUGUUUUUAUCUGAAUGUGAGUUGUGUAUAAUUUAGUUAUCUAUAAUGUUAAUAGAAAUGUUAAGAAUUAUGGUUAUUGUUUACUGUGUAGCCAAAUCAAUUUUUUCUUCUUCUUUAAUAUAAUAUGAUUAUACAAAAUUGAGUUUGGUAGUUGAAUUGGAUUGUGAAAGUGCUGGUACCAAAGAAUAAGAAAACUUUCCACCUAUUGAUGGAUCUAAUUGAGUGAUAAGGGAACCAGAUGCUCGUCCUUGGCCAACUAUGCCAGAAUUUGCCCUUUCAAAAGCAAUGGUGUUGUAACGACCACAUCCCAUUCAAAUUCCAGGGAAUUUUUGUUAUUCUGCAUGCAGUACAGAACCCAAUUGUACAGUACGUUCACGAUAAUGGAAGUAAGUUAUUUCUUCUCCAAUUUUCCUAACGAUCAUGAUGAGAGGGACAUGUGGAAGAUUUUUCAGCGAAGUGGAGGAUUAAAAGACGUUGUGAUUUAAAAAGAUUAAUCGUAAAAGGGCAGAGGUUUGGUUUUGUUAGAUUUCAGGAUGUUGUAGACGUUGCUAAUCUAGAAAAAAAGCUUAAUAUUAUCUGGAUUGGGACAUGGAAGCUGAGAAUAAAUAAACCAAAAUACAAGAGACUUCUGGAGGUUAGGAAGGAGUGGAAUGGAAACCAUAAACCAAGGAAACAACAAAACGAGUGGAGGCAGAGGGAGCAACAUCUAACGUACGCUCAGGUGGUGGUGAAGGAGAAUAAAAGGAGAGUACAAGGGGUUAAGGCACAAGGACUGGUUCAUGUCAGAGUUCAGGAGGAAAAUGCAAAAUGGCUGAGAAGUUGCUUCGUAGGAAGAGUGGCGAAGGUGGAGAAGGUGCAGUCCAUGAAGUAGUGUUUCAUUAUGGAUGUUUUCAAGUGUAUUAGAGUGAGGUAUCUAGGGGGGACUACGUUCUGCUGUCUGAGGAUUUGGUAGGGGUGGUACAAAAAGCGUUGGAAGACAAAAAGGAGUGGUUUGCAAAUGUUUUUGCAUUUGUAGUCCCAUGGGAUGACAUCUUUGUAGUGGAGGACAAGAUUGUAUGGGUUAGAUGCAGAGGAAUUUCUUUAAAGUUCUGGAGUAAACAUUGUUUUGAACAAGUAGCAGCCCUCGUAGGGUCAUUGAUAGAAGUCGAUGUUGCAACGUUAUCAAGUACGCAAGGGUGCGUGUGAGGGUUCCUGUGGCCAGAGAAGCAUGCACGGUGAAGAAUGUGAGACUUAACGAAACAUUGUGUAAGCUAGUUAUAGAGGAGGAGACUUCCAUCACGAGUCUCUGCGUAUGCGGUCCUCAUUAUAAGUGGAGGGAGAUGCAUGGAAGGGAGUCAAAUGGUUAUUGGGUCUCGAAAGGCCCAGCGAAGUGAAGGCAGUAUGUUUAGUGUUUUCAUGGGUUUGGGCCCAAGGAAGGUGGAAGUUGAACAAUCAGGGGGUAUUGCAAGCACAUAACCCACGAAAUGGCAGCUAGAACAACGUUUACGUUGGCGAGGGGAGGAAUGGUGCGUUGCGAGUGAGUAAUGGAGGAAGGCAGGUGAGGGGUAAGGUGAAGCUCCUAUUGAGGUUGGGCGCUUGCAGAGGAGAAGGUGUCAUUGUCAUAGAGACAAAAGAGGGUGUUGAAACAUAUCAGUUGGCACAACGGGGCUAUGGCAGAUUUUCCCCAACAACGACGACGUUUAUAAGUGCCUAAUUUCAAUAAUAUUUUAUAUUAAAAUAUAGGUACUUAUGUGUAUUAAUUUCUAAAUUACAUAUAAAAUAAAUUCCUAAUUUAUGAAUUUAUGCCUUUUUUACAUUUUUUAUGAUCUUUAUUUGAAUAAGAACAUUUUAUUCCCAUAUUUGGUGUUAAUUGUAGGUUUCUAGGGAAAAAUGGAGAUUUGGACUAAAGAAGAAUGAUAUAAGCUAAAAAGAGAAUGCUGGAAGGUCCAGAAAGCACAAAAAGAGAAAAAAAAGAGUCCAACCCAGUAGCAGAGUUCUUGCUCAAACAAGCUAUAUCUCGCUUGAGCGAGAGAGCUCCAACAACGUUCUCAAAAAAUCGACUCCUUUCUCGCUCAAGCGAGAAUGCAUCAGAGAAAUUGGGCCAUUUUUAUGUUUUAUCAAUAAACCCAUCAGUGCGACGCAAGAAGUCACAUAACCCUAGUAAAUUAGGUUAAAUAGGGGGCUAAAGGCUCAACCCUAGUAUGCCAGAUUGAGAGAAAAACACAUUUGAGUGAUUUGUAACCAAUUGGGAGAAUGGAAGGUGCUGGAAGUAUGCGUGGGUAAUUCUACCCUUUGGGAUUGGGAGUAAUAUGUUCGAACUCUUAUGUAUUGAGGUGAUGUUUAAAUAUGAUAUCAUAUUUUGUCCUUGAUUGAUUAUUGGUAUUGUUGUUUUUCUUCUAAAUAGUGGUGACAUGUUUGAGAAUCUUGAAUUAGACUGGGAGGUAUUUUCAGGGUUCUGACCUAAACAACAAUACUUAACAUAUUUGAAUGUUAGAGAUAACUUGAAAUGUCAAUUGCUAUUAACGUCUGAGCGCGACUCUGAGUUGUUUUUAUAAGUAUGCGAGAGUUCGAUAUUUAGGAAACAUUCUUAAGAAUUUUAUAUGCGAGAGAUUGAUAUAAAUGAUUUUUCUACAGACAUCAAUUUCAAUAAAAGAACUUAAUGUUAACAUGCUAAUCAAAAUACAUGAGAGUGAGCAAGAUGAAACCUAAUCCCUAUUUGUCCAAUUGAAGCAAUUACUCUUUGAUUUGUUUUCUUGUUAAUUGUUGCCAUUAUAACAAUUUUCAAACCAAAUUUUUAUUGUUUUGUUUUAUAUUUAGUGAAUAUUGUACUUGAUAAUUCAAUUGUUCCUUGUGACAUUGAUAUUCAUUCUUUAUUACUUCUAACAACGCGAUGUACUUGCUGUAAAAAGUCAUCAGGCGUCCCCGGCUUCUCCCCUGCAUUCAUUUGGAGAAGGCAGCGAGCAAAGGGGGCGGAUAAGGGUGAAAAUUUUAAGUCUUCGAGCUGCAAUGGAAAGGCAGCCACGGAGGAGAAGGAAGACAACGACUUAAGGGGAUGUGCGACUUUGGAGGAAGGUGAUGGUGGUUGGUGCAGGGGAGAUGCGGACGUGAAGUUCGCUGAAAUUUUAAUCGAAGCUAAGGGAGAUGGAGAUUUUUCAAAAAGAGGAGCGGAAGCGAGAAUAUUGACGGGGGCCACACCGACAAACUUUUCGGUGCAAAAUCAACGGGAAAUAAGGUUAGAUUCUUAGAGCUCAAUCAAUUGCUCUACUCAUAGUGCACUUAGGAAUUGUAAUAGGUUGUUUUGGAUUAAAACGAGUACUCGAAAGCUGAUAGAAUUUGGAAUGUUGGUAAGGAGGUGGGGUUUUCCUUUCUCGGAGAGGGUGAUGUUGUUAUUGGUAAGCUACAAGUCAUGGAGGUUAGAGACAAAUCUGCAGGUAGGAGGGAGGAAAUAAGCAGGGUGGAGAAUAGUCUGUCUAAUGAGUAAGCUAAUUAAUAUGAAUAUAAGGGGAGUAGGGGGAAAUAUUAAAAGGAAAUAUCUACGAGUUGAUUAAGAAAGAACAAGUAUGUUUACAGGAGGCAAAAUGUAAGGAGUUGGGGCAAGAAGAGAUUUUUAAAAUGUGGGGUACUAAUGAAGUGGAUUGGGUUGAAAAUGGAAUUAAAAACAAUGCAGGAGAGGUGAUCACGAUGUGGAGGAGAAGUUGCUUUCUUCUUAGUAAUUUUAUCAAUGAGAAGAAUUAUAGUAUAAUAGAAAGGGAGUGGAGGAUUGGAGAGCCGAUACAGAUCACUAUUGUUGACGUGUAUAAUUCCGGUUCCUUGGAAGAAAAAAGAUAAGUAUGAGAGGAGGUCAGAGAGAGGAGAACGGUGCAUGGAUCAAAGGCUUGGUGCGUGGUUGGGAACUUUAACUCUAUCAGGAGAAUAUGUGAAAGGAGGAAUGCAGGAAACGAUAUUGAUCACAGUAGGGAGAUGAGAAGAUUCAAUAAUUUUAUUGAAAACACUGAGUUGGUUGAUAUUUCGAUGAUGGGAAGAAAGUUUACGUGGUAUAAACCAAACAAUUUAAUCAAGAGUAGAAUUGAUCGUAUCUUGGUGUCGCGGGAAUGGUUGAAUAAGUAGCCUAACAGUAAACAUCUCGUUCUAAACAGAUCGGUGUCUGAUCAUUGCGUCCUGGUAUUAAAAACAGAUACUACGGAUUGGGGACUGAAACCAUUUAGGUCGUUGGAUAUAUGGAAAAAUGACGACAAAUUUAUGGAUUUCGUUAGAGUGAAAUGGGGAAGUUAUGACGUGCAAGGAAGUGAGAUCUUUGUCUUUAAAGAGAAGUUGAGAAUGUUGAAAGUUGAUCUUAAAACCAGGGAUAGAGAGGUGUUCGAUAAUGUUGAUCAGUUGGGGGAAGAUUUACAGAAGAAAGUUUAGGAGUCUGAUGCAAAGGAUGAUGAGGGCGAGUUGGAUGAGGAAGGAAGAGAGGAAAGAAAAUGGCUUUUAGCAAAGCAGAGAAGAAAUAAUCACGGACAUGAAGCUUUAUUUCAACAUAAGAUGCGCCAUGGAUGGUUGAAUCAGGGGGACUUGAAUACAAGAUAUUUUCAUUCGGUAAUCAAAUAGAGGAGAGCAAGGAACAACAUUAGUGGGCCGAGAGAAAAUGGCCAAUGGGUUGACGAGCAAGGUGAGGUCAAGAAAAAGGUUAGAGAUUUCUUCCAACAAAGGUUUGGUGGUGAUGCUUGUAAAUGUGUCAGGAUUGAUAAUGCAAGGUUCAACAGGAUUUCAGAAGAAGACAAUGAUAUGUUGGUAGGAAGAAUAAUCGAAGAGGAAAUAAAACAUGUUGUUUGGUGUUGUGAAAGUGAUAAAAGCCCGAGACCGGAUGGAUUUAACUUUGGCUGCAUUAAGUUUUGUUGGGAUGUUUUUAAGGUCGAUAUCAUUAGGGCAAUUCGUGAUUUUAAGGAAGGAGGAAGAUGGCCAAGGGGGACGAAUGCUUCGUUUAUCUCCUCCUAAAUAACCCGCAAAAAUUUGAACGAUUUUAGACCAAUUUCUUUGAUUGGCUAUCUAUACAAAAUUGUGACUAAAAUUUUGUCUUUGAGGCUGAAAAAUGUUUUGCACAAAGUUAUUGACAGUAGGCAAUUUGUUUUCUUGGAGGGUAGGGGGUUAAUGGAUAGUGUUUUAGUGGCAAAUGAAGUUUUGGAAGAAGUGAAGAGGAGAAAGACCAGUUGCUUUUUUUUUUCAAAGUUGACUAUGAAAAGGCAUAUGACUCGAUCAUUUGGGACUUUAUCUAUUACAUGAUGGACAAGUUAGGUUUCUGCGGAAAAUUGAUUGAAUGGGUAAGGGCAUGUCUCGAAUCAUCCUCCGUGUCCGUGUUAGUAAAUGAGAAUUCAGACCGAGGAAAGAAUUAAGACAAGCAGAAUUGAGAAAAAGAUUGGCUGGAGUAGUUAGGAAGGCGGUCGAGAAAGAGAUUCUAGAAAACCUGGAGAUUGGAGACAAGUUUGUUAAGGUAAACAUGCUUCGGUAUGCGAAUGAUACCCUUUUUUCUGCAAAGCUAAAGUGCAAAGUGUGUUCGUUAUCAAAGCCAUCCUUAAUUUAUUUGAAUUAGCUUCUGGUUUAAAGAUUAAUUUUGAGAAGAGCAGAAUAUGUGGGGUGGGAGGUGAUUUACAUAUGGGGCAACUUUGUGUAUCUAUUUUGAACUGCGCUGUGAUGAAGACUACGUUUAAGUAUUUGGGCAUGCUAGUAGGGGGAUGUCACAAAAGAAGUAAGUUAUAGGAAGACUUUGUCUGAUAAAAUUGGUUCUAUCUUCUCUACCCAUGUUCUAUAUGUCACACACACACAAUAUUUCAAAAUAUUGCCCUCUUCAUAGGAAUUUUAAUAUUUACACAUAUCAAACUAAAAUACUUAAGAAAACUAAACAUUUCCUUUGCUCAUUGUGAAGCUCUCUCAUUUGUAGCAUCAUCUGCUUCCGUAUAAAUACAUGAUCAUCCUAGAUAAGAAAAACAAAUUAUAAAAUAAACAACAUGGUAAACUAGCUAUUUUUAAAAUUUCAAAUAUAAAUUUAACUUAAAUUAACAAGCAUAAAUGCAUCAAUUCUCAUAUAUUUCACAAAGAAAUCAAGUGUGUAUAAAAUUCAUAAUUCAUCUUUCUCAUGUCAAACUUCUCCUAACCCACAACACAUAGACACUUGACUCUACUUUCAGAAGACAAAUGUAUUGAAAUUAGCACUCAGAAACAAACAAUCCUUCAAGAAAAUUGAACUAGUGUCCACGUCACCCGCACAUCCAGAUCUUCUAACCUAGGUUCUAUUGAAAAUUUAAAACUAGCUUCCCUUACCUGACUUUAGUAGGUGUGCUCACAAAGAGCUCCAACUCCUACUACAAUAAAUGAUAACUUAACCUGCAUCACAGAGUCUUAAUCAAAGGUCUAAAUAUAACACUAGGAAUUUGAAUUAAGAGUGGUUAAUCUUGAAGUUAGAAACAUCACAUGAAACAACCUAUACUAAGACAAACCUAACUAGUUAAGAACUGACUCAAAGGAAAAAUGAGCAAAAAAAGAAGAAGAACUUACUCUGUCUAAGAUUCUAAUCGUACCGUCUUGUGGCCUUUGCUGCUAGGAGUCCAAUAAUGGACUCUGAUCGUUAAUAUGAUGAAUGAGGAUGUCGAAAUUUUAGAGAUAAGGUAGAGAAAAGGAAAAUAGAAGUUUCAGAGAGAUGGUAAUUCUUUUAAAAUGAAAUAUGAGUAACUGAAUUUCUUUUCAUAUACUAUUUUCACUUUAAUAAUAAAAUAUUCAAGUUUCAUUUAAAAUAUAUCACUUCUACUCUAAAAUUAGUUUUUAGAUCCUUACCUUCAUCAAUACAUUUAUUUAUUUAUUAUAAAAGUUUUUAGUGGCAUAAGAGUGUAUGAAUACAUUAUACCGUUAACUUCAUCUUCAACUUACAUCAUGUGAAAAUUUCAUUUAAAUAAUGUUUAAAGCUCACUAGUGGAAACUCUAAUGUUAGUUACAAUUACUGUAUAUAGGAACCUAUAAUAAUAGUUUUUUAAACUAAAAAUUAUUGUUGAACUGGACAAGAGUGAGAAUUUACUAAAAAAACCUUCAAAUUAUAAUUUUUAUUCAAUAAUAAUUUUUUUAUAAAUAAAAAUUAAAUUUUGUUAAGAAUUCAGUUGGAUCCCAUAUUUUUUUUUAGUUUUCUUUUUCAACUAUUUUUUUUGUGUGGAUUCUUCUUAUCAUUUGUAGAGUAGCUAGUUACAUGAGCAACAACUUUUUUUGAAAGGGAUGGGAGGGAGGGAGUCUCUUUUCUCAUAUUCCAGUCUCUUUUUCUGCUGGUGUAUGUGCUAAUCAAAUUCCUCUGAUUUGGGAAGUCUUUAUAGUUUAAGUUUUUUAGUGUUAAGUGCUCCCUUAACCCUGUUUUGUAUUGUUGUUUGUUUAAACUAUGGAGGUAUUAUGUAUAAGGAUUGGGACACUCUUUAAGUGUCUCAUUUUUAUUUUAUUAAUUUAAUGCUGAUAAAAAAAAAAAACAACUAUUUUUGAACUAUUUCAUAUGCUUAGAGAAUCAUCAUUCAUUUGAUCUUGAAUUUCUGGUUCCUUGUACUUUUCAGACUUAAUUAAUAUGGACCACGUACCCCAUGAACUAAAUGCACCUAAGUCUUUUGUCUCUUGCACCUCCAUUGUCAGAACCACGUGGCCCAUCACAAGUUUUCACAGUGUCCUUUUAGAAUUUUUCAAUCUUUUCUCAGUUUGCUUUCUUUAUUUGUAUAUGUAUUAUUUGUGUACAUAUUGAAAACUUUAUUGUAUCUAGAUUACAGUAAAUAUAUAUGGUUCUCGAACAUGUGUUUGCUUACAAAACGAUUGCUCUGUUCUUUCCUUUGGUCGUUCGCGGUCAUAUUCAGUUUCUUGCUUCGUCUUUCUCUUUUCGGUCGUUUGGUUUCAAAGGUUGGGAUAGUACUUGCAGAAGGCAUUCCGACGAUCAAGUUAGUCAGAGUAUCGACACUCAGUUGUCAGAGUACUGCAGAUAAUUGACGUACCUGAUUUUUGGAAUAUGUGUUAUUUAUAUUAUCUUAAUGAACCUUUAUUGGUGGGCCGGAUUAAGAUGUUGGCUAAUGUUUAGGAUUUAGUAAACAACUCUUAAUUAUGGAUUAAUCCUGCUGACUUGGUCAACCCAUAGUUCGUCAUCAAGGUCGGUCGAUCAGGUUCUUCACAUGACCUUCUUAUCAUGACCGAGUGAUCGAGUUCAUGACCGACUCACUUAGUGGUUCGAUCGUGUGCCAGUACAUACAUUUUUUUACUUUAAAGUGAUUCAUAAUUUUUACUAAUAUUAUAUAAUUUUUCACAUUAAAAAUGCGUAUUUUUUUUAUGAUUUUUGAGUUUGUGUUAUUUCUUUUAUCAGUUUAUUAAUAUAAAAGUGUCGGUUCAAAUAAUUCGAAACUUAAGUAUUUAUACACUUUAUUCAAAUUGAUCAAUUCAAUGGGAUGUAAACUAAUUGGGUACUGGAAGGAUAAGAAAGUAAAUUGAACUAUUAUGAAAGACUAUUUAUAUUAAUUUUACCUCUAAAAGUUUAUAUUAUGUUCAUUAAAAUAACUAAUAAGUAGAGAUAAAAUAAAUAACUUUAACUAAGGGUUGAAACUCGAAUUUUUAUUUCAGAGUUGUUAACUUAACAUUUAAAAUCUUUCAAAAGCAUGAACAAUCUUUUAGAUUGGCGCCUGUAAAUAAGAGAAAAAAAAUCAUUAUUUUUGUUUCCUAUGUUUAUAGGAUCUGAAAAAAAAAACUAAUAAGUCAACACAUAAGUAUAAAAUGAAUAUCAAAUUAAAUUUUUCAUCAGUUAUCAUUAAAUCUUUAUAACUGUGUGUUAGUUUGAAUUGGGUCAGUUUAAACAUAAAACCAACUCAACACAAUCAUAAAUAAAACUUCAACUCAACCUAUUGAAUUAAAUUAAAGUUUGUUAAGCUGGCGUUUUUUUUAAUUAGGUUGUAUUAUUAUUUUUUAAUUAGGUUAAUAUUUAAAAGUUAUAAUUUUUAACGAAAAAAAAUUCAAAUUUUUGAUCCAAUCUUAAUCCAACCAUCUCAAAAAUGAUUUGGAUUAAUUGGUUUAACAUGCAAAAUUUAAAAACAAACUUAACCAACCUUAUAUUUUUAAAUGGGUUGAAUAAUAGGUUUUUCUAGAUAUACCCAAUAGAAAACCAUUUAAAAAUUAUAAUGGAUUUUUACCGCUUGAAAAGAGAUUCUAUUAACUUGGAUUCCAUCUUUUCUUUCAUCAAACAUAUAGUGAUAAUGGAUUUUUUUUAUUGUUUAUAUUUCCUUUUGUUAACAAACUUGCUACAUUUUUUUUUCUUAAGCAAAAUAAUUUAGUAGUAAAAGAAACCUAAACUUGAGCAUAAGAUGUAAGUAAAACUGUAAAAAAUUUAAAUGACUCCAUUAAUCAUUGAGGAUCAUAAACAUAAACUAUCAUGGUAUACAAAACAACAACUAAUCCAAACCUAGAAUUAACAUAAGCACAGACUGUGAUGUGAAAUCUUAUUCUUUUAUCUCCUUCUUCACAAACCUCUUAUUCCUUUAUCGCCUUCACAAAGCUCUUAAAGUUCUCAUAAGAUGUUCCUCCUUUUGCUAUGUUCUUCAUCACUUUCUCCUUCAACACCACACACCUACAUUUUAUGUUCUCAUCAUUAAAGAUCUGUUCCACUUUGGUUUUCAACUCUCCGCGUGACACAACUCCAUUUUCAUCUUUGUCAAUUCCCAACCCAACCUUUAACUCAUCACAAAUAUGUGUUUUGUUGUAAGGUUGGUCUCCCAAGUAUGGCCAACACAACAAAGGUACCCCAUUGGACAAACCUUCCAUGGUAGAAUUCCAACCACAAUGAGUGAGAAAACAUGCUAUGGCAGGGUGACUUAAAACCUUUUGUUGAGGAGCCCAAUUCACUAUCUUACCCUUAUGCCCUUGGAAUUCAUGAGGGUAUGCCAUUUUAUUGUCUUCUCUUAUAACCCAAAGAAAAGGUCUAUUGGUGAGGUCUAGUCCAAGGGCAAGUUCAUUGAAUUGGUUUUGGUCAAAAAGAGUGAUACUACCAAAGGCAACAUACAACACAGAACCAUCAGCUUGUUCAUCUAGCCAACUCAUGCAAGAGAGAUCUUCUUCCCAGAAUUGCCCCAAUGAUCUUAGAGUUACAUUAGUUUUGUAAUGAUGAUCACUUCUCAACAGCGGACCAAUUGGAAGGAGACUCGGAACAAGGGUUAAUACGUGAGGUUCAAGUUCAUGUGCAGUAUCACAAAGCCACCAUUGAGUCAAAUUUAAAGCUGGAAAACAGUGAUGCACCAAGUAAUUAAGGUAAUGAGAACCAUCCAUAAGUUCAGCCAUGUGAAACCAAAACAAGGUUCUUGUGUCCAUCUCUGGCAUACUUGGUGAUAAUUGAAUUGUCCCUUUUGAAGUUAAUAUGGAUCCUGCAAUGAAACAUGACAUAAUUGAGAAGUAAAAUAUGUUUUUAGAUGGGCAUGGUAUUUAUUAAAACAGGACCAAACAAAAGCAUAAGUUGCCAGACUUUAGAAACAAAAGUAUGAUAGUGUUCUUACCAUCUGAAUCUAUGAUCCCAUCAUCAACGAGCUUUGGAACACUGCUUACCAAAUGAAACAAAGUUGCUGCGGCAGGCCAAAAUAGAGCUCCUUUGAUUCCCAAUUCACAGGCAACAUUCAAUAUCCAUCCAACAUGUACAUCUGCAACAAUAAACCUGAUUCUGUUGUCACCUUUCAAAUGAAUAUUAUUAUUAUCCUCUAUGAGCUUUUUAAGUGCUUCUGGCACGGUGAUUAGCAUAGAAUCACAUAGCUUGCCCAAGUUGUUUCUGUCAUCAUUAGGUCCUAAGCCAUCUGGGAUUGAGACCAACUUCAGUGGCGAUUCUUCAUUGUAUUGAUCCACCAUUGAGCUCACCACUCUCUUGUGGUUGAAGUCUGUGUUCACAAAUAUGACUCUGCAUCCAUUCUCCACAAGCUUUUGUGAUAGGGUUAACAUGGGAUUCACAUGCCCUUGACAUGGAAAUGGGAAAACUAGCACAGUUGGAAUGCUCAUGCUGUGUUCUUGUGUUUGCACUUCACGGGUAUGGCUUUGUUUAUAUACUCUGAAAAUAUGACUACCAAUUGUUAUAGGCUCAUUGGAUCAAGGAUAAUUGGUAAAUAUUUGGAACCACAAAUUUAAGUUUUGUUUUUAUCUGAAUGUGAGUUGUGUAUGAUUUAGUUAUCUAUAAUGUUAAUAGAAAUGUUGAGAAUUAUGGUUAUUGUUUACUGUGUAGCCAAAUCAAUUUUUUCUUCUUCUUUAAUAUAAUAUGAUUAUACAAAAUUGAGUUUGGUAGUUGAAUUGGAUUGUGAAAGUGCUGGUACCAAAGAAUAAGAAAACUUUCCACCUAUUGAUGGAUCCAAUUGAUUGAUAAGGGAACCAGAUGCUCGUCCUUGGCCAACUAUGCCAGAAUUUGCCCUUUCAAAAGCAAUGGUGUUGUAACGACCACAUCCCAUUCAAAUUCCAGGGAAUUUUUGUUAUUCUGCAUGCAGUACAGAAUCCAAUUCUACAGUACGUUCACGAUAAUGGAAGUAAGUUAUUUCUACUCCAAUUUUCAUAACGAUCAUGAUGAAAGGGACAUGUGGAAGAUUUUUCAGCGAAGUGGAGGAUUAAAAGACGUUGUGAUUUAAAAAGAUUAAUCGUAAAAGGGCAGAGGUUUGGUUUUGUUAGAUUUCAGGAUGUUGUAGACGUUGCUAAUCUAGAAAAAAGGCUUAAUAUUAUCUGGAUUGGGACAUGGAAGAAUAAAUAAACCAAAAUAUAAGAUACUCGGCUCAAUUACAUAUCUAACACCAUUUACACUUUUAUUUCUUCAUCUAUCAUUCUUUUGUUUUUAUUUCCCUAUCUAGCACCAUUUCAAAAAUAAAUUAAAAAAAUAAUAAAUUAUUAUUUUUUGAUAAUUUUAAUUUUGAAUGCAUUAAAAAAUAAUUUUUUUAAUGUUUCAAAUAACUAGAAAUAUAAUUAAUGAAUAAAUAAAUGAGUUUUUACAAAAUAAAAAUAAAAAAAUAAUAAAUUAAAAAUGUUUAGUUUAAAAUUAUUAUUUUUUAAAAUGAACAAAAAUAAAAAAUUAAAACCAACAACAACAUAAAAGUUGAAUCCUAUAAACUAAAUUACUAUUUAUUUUUAUCAUCAUUGAUGAAGCAAAUAUUUAAAUUCAAGUAAAAAAAUCCAUCAAUAUAAUUAUAAAAAACUCUAAAGUUAAAUUAAUUUAAUUCACUACCGGUAACUUUAAAUAAUUAUUUUAAUNNNNNNNNNNNNNNNNNNNNNNNNNNNNNNNNNNNNNNNNNNNNNNNNNNNNNNNNNNNNNNNNNNNNNNNNNNNNNNNNNNNNNNNNNNNNNNNNNNNNUCAUUUACAGAUGAACAGAUUUAUUUUUCAAAACGAAAACAGAGAAAGUUUAACUAUUUAAAACUCAGUCGUUUUGAAAAGAAGAAGACUUAGUCAAAAUACCUGAUGCACAAAAUCUAAUUUUUACAAGACUUUAGCCAAGGCAUCAGUGAAGAAAAUGAAUCUGUUUAUUUAGAAAAGAACAGAUUUAUUUUUAUGCAGUAAACGUGUUUUUGUGUAAAACCUGUGAAAAACAGUUUAAGAAAACUUAUGCUUGUUCUUAACACAUGGCCAGUGGUUAUGAGGUGAGUUACUCAGCAAAAAGCUACUCUUAGACAACCUCUAAGCACUAACUAAGACAUACUUAAAGCAAAGCAAAAAUACAUGAAAGGUACAUAAAAGUCUUCAUCAAACACUACAUAUAUGUCUUCAUCAAACACAAUCUUGAAGGGGCAGCAACCAUCUUCAACAAGAACAAGAUGUCAUCAAGUACGUAAGGGUGCGUGUGAGGGUUCCAGUGGCCAGAGAAGCAUGCACGGUGAAGAAUGUGAGACUUAACGAAACAUUGUGUAAGCUAGUUAUAGAGGAGGAGACUUCCAUCACGAGUGUCUGUGUAUGCGGUCCUCAUUAUAAGUGGAGGGAGAUGCAUGGAAGGGAGUCAAAUGCUGAGUUGGAGGAGAAGUUUAGAGAGGAGUUCUUUGAGUCAGAAGGCUUCGACUACAAUGAUCAAAAUGAUGCGAGGGGGAAUGCCAACAAAGAGAAAUCAGUGAAAUUUCAGGCAAAGGGAGUUUCAGGUGCCGGGGGAGGCACAUGUAUAGGUAGCUCAAGUAGAGGUAGGGAAUCGAGGCAUGGAGGAGGUUACACUAAUUUGGAGGGGCACGUUGGCGGCAUGAGAAAAGAAGGUAUAUGCAGGACAUCCUUUGAGGUUGUGUCAAUGCAACAAGAGGUUAAUAAACCAAUAUGGGAUGCUACGGCUACGCGUGCUAAGGAGGUUAACCUAAUGGUUAUUGGGUCUCGAAAGGCCCGACGGAGUGAAGGGAGUAUGUUUAGUGUUUUCAUGGGUUUGGGCCCAAGGAAGGUGGAAGUUGAACAAUUAGGGGGUAUUGCAAGCACACAACCCACGAAAUGGCAGCUAGAACAACGUUUACGCUGGUGAGGGGAGGAACGGUGCGUUGCGAGUGAGUAAUAGAGGAAAACAGGUGAGGGGUAAGGAGAAGCUCCUAUUGUGGUUGGGCGCUUGCGGAGGAGAAGGUGUCAUCGUCACAAAGACAAAAGAGGGUGCUGAAACAUAUCAAUUGGUGCAGCGGAGCUAUGACAAAUUUUCCCCAACGGUGACGACGUUUAUAAGUGCCUUAUUUCAGUAAUAUUUUAUAUUAAAAUAUAGGCAUUUAUGAGUAUUAAUUUCUAAAUUACAUAUAAAAAAAAUUCCUAAUUUAUAAAUUUAUGCCUUUUUAUUUUUUAUGAUCUUUAUUUGAAUAAGAACAUUUUAUUCCCAUAUUUGGUGUCAAUUGCAGGUUUCUAGGGAAGAAUGGAGAUUUGGACUAAAGAAGAAUGAUAUAAGCUAAAAAGAGAAUGUUGGAAGGUCUAGAAAGCACAAAAAGAGGAAAAAGAAGUCCAAUUCAGUAGCAGAGUUCUCGCUCAAGCAAGUUAUAUCUCGCUUGAGCGAGAGAGCUCCAACAACGUUAUCAAAAUCGACGCCUUUCUCGCUCAAGCGAGAAUGCGUCACACAAAUUGGACCAUUUUUAUGUUUUAUCAAUAGACCCAUCAAUGCGACGCAGAAAUUCACCUAACCCUAGUAAAUUAGGUUAGAUAGGGGGCUAGAGGCUCAACCCUAGUGUGUUAGAUUGAGAGGAAAACACCUUUGAGUGAUUUGUAACCAAUUGGGAGAAUGGAAGGUGCUAGAAGUAUGCUUGGGUAAUUCUACCCUUUGGAAUUGGGAGUAAUCUGUUUGAACUCUUAUGUAUUGAGAUGAUGUUUAAAUAUGAUAUAAUAUUCUGUUCUUGAUUGAUUAUUGGUAUUGUUGUUUUGCUUCUAAAUAGUUGUGACAUGUUUGAGAAUCUUGAAUCCGACUGAGAGGUAUUUUUCAGGGUUCUGACCUAAACAACAAUACUUAAUAUAUUUGACUGUUAGAGAUAACUUGAAAUGUCAAUUGCUAUUAACGUCUGAGCGUGACUCGGAGUUGUUUUUAUAAGUAUGCGAGAGAUCGAUAUUUAGGAAACAUUCUUAAGAAUUUUAUAUGCGAGAGAUUGAUAUAAAUGAUUUUUCUACGGGCAUCAAUUUCAAUCAAAGAACUUAAUGUUAACAUGCUAAUCAAAAUACAUGAGAGGGAGAAAGAUGAAACCUAAUUCCUAUUUUUCCAAUUGAAGCAAUUACUCUUUGAUUUGUUUUCUUGUUAAUUCUUGCCAUUAUAACAAUUUUCAAACCAAAUUUUUAUUGUUUUGUUUUAUAUUUAUCGAAUAUUGUACUUGAUAAUUCAAUUGUUCCUUGUGCGAUCGAUAUCCAUCCUGAUAUCCAUCCUUAGGGACAAAUUAUUACUUUUGACAACGCGAUGUACUUGCCGUAAAAAGUCAUCAGGCAUUCCCGACUUCUCCACUGCAUUCAUUUGGAGAAGGCAGCGACCAAAUGGGACGGAUAAGGGUGGAAGUUUUAAGUCUUCGAGCUGCAAUGGAAGGGCGACCACGGAGGAGAAGGAAGACAACGACUUAAGGGGAUGUGCAGCUUUGGAGGAGGGGGGGUGAAUAGUUUAAAAGAGAUUUACGAAAUUUUUUGAAGAUUUAAUGGAAUUCUGUGAAGAAAUCCAGAAGAGGAAUCAAGUUAGCUAAGAACACAAACUGUUUUAAAGCAAAACACAGAAAAACAAUCGGUUGUUUAUACCAGUUAAAACUUAAACAACUUAAAAACAGAAUUUAAAGGAGUUCAGAGAAAGAGAAAUGCACACAAGCAGUUUAUACUGGUUCACUCUUACAACAAGAGCUACAUCCAGUUCCCAGAAACCACUAGGUAAUCCACUAAGCAAUUAAACCAGAUUACAAACACCACACACCAAAGUAGUGACCCUGAACCCCUCAAGAAACACAUUACCUUUGGCAAACCACACCAAGAGUAUUGAUCUUGAACACCUCAAGAACACACAACACUCCUUAGCAAUACAACAACAAAAAUACAAAAGAUUGAGAAAGGAUUACACCUGAUCAAAGUACAAUAUGAAAAGAAUACAAUUGCAAUCCUAUUUCACUCUCACUUGAAAAUCCAAAGCUUGAUGUGAAUCUUGAAAACUUGAGAUCAAAAGAUUGGUCAAAACAUUUAAUAUUAUCCAAAGAUUGGUCAAAACAUUUAAUAAAGGAAUGUAUUCAGUUAGAAAUCAUUUAAGACAGAUUCACCAUUCAAAACAGGAUCCUGUUAGGAUUUUCAAAGUUGAAACCACAAAACAGCCGAUUGAUUUGGUUUGACAGUUAAGUCAACCAAGUCAAACAACUUUCAGCCUUUUUCAAAACAUCUAAGAACAAAACAACCGGUUGAUUCGACAAAACAACAAGUUGUUUUUCACUUAGUUGAAAAAACAUUUAAUUUCAAAAAGGUUUUAAUUCACAUCAGUUUUAGAUUCAACAAAAGAGUGGAUCGCACUUUAAUCUACCCAGAUCCCACCCACACAUAACAACAACACUAGCCUUUCAUCAAACACCUUGGAUUUGGAUUCUUCAAAGCUCUUGAUCACUCUUGAUCAAUACAGGGGAGAUGUAAACGUGAAGUUCGACGAAAUUCGAAUUGAAGCCAAGGGAGAUGGAGAUUUUUCAAAAAGAGAAGCGGAAGCGAGAAUAUUGUCGGGGGCCACACCGAAAAACUUUUCGGUGCAGAAUCAAUGGGAAAUAAGGUUAGAUUCUCAGAGCUCGAUCAAUUGCUCUACUCAUAGUGCACUUAGGAAUUGUAAUAGGUUGUUUUGAAUGAAAACGAGUACUCAAAAGCUGAUAGAAUUUGGAAUGUUGGUAAUGAGGUGGGGUUUUCCUUUCUCGGAGAGGGUGAUGUUGUUAUUGGUCAGCUAAAAGUCAUGGAGGUUAGAGACAAAUCUGCAGGUAGGAGGGAGGAAAUAAGCAGGGUGGAGAAUAGUCUGUCUAAUGAGUAAGCUAAUUAGUAUGAAUAUAAGAGGAGUGAGAGGAAAUAUUAAAAGGAAAUAUCUACGUGAGUUGAUUAAGAAAGAACAAGUAUGUUGACAGGAGGCAAAAUGUAAGGAGUGGGGGCAAGAAGAGAUUUUUAAAAUGUGGGGUACUAAUGAAGUGGAUUGGGUUGAAAAUGGAGUUGAAAACAAUGCAGAAGGGUUGAUCACGAUGUGGAGGAAAUGUUGCUUUCUUCUUAGUAAUUUUAUCAACGGGAAGAAUUAUAGUAUAAUAGAAAGGGAGUGGAGAAUUGAAGAGCCGAUACAGAUCACUAUUGUUGACGUGUAUAAUUUCGAUUCCUUGGAAGAAAAAAGAUCAGUAUGGGAGAAUGUCAGAGAGAGCAGAACGGUGCAGGGAUCAAAGACUUGGUGCGUGGUUGAAACAAACUUCAAAUUAUAAUUUUUAUUUAAUAAUAAAUUUUUUAUAAAUAAAAAAUAAAUUUUGUUAAGAAUUCAAUUGGAUCCCAUAUUUUUUUUUUUAGUUUUCUUUUCAACUAUUUUUUUGUGUGGAUUCUUCUUAUCAUUUGUAGAGUAGCUAGUUACAUGAGCAACAACUAUUUUUGAACUAUUCCAUGUCCUUAAGGAGAAUCAUCAUUCAUUUGAUCUUGAAUUGCAACAAUUUCAGAAUGUAUAUAAUUGAACAUUUCUGGUUCCUUGUACUUUUCAGACUCAAUUAAUAUGGACCACGUGAAAAAUACCCCAUCAACUAAAUGCACUUAAGUCUUUUGUCUCUUGCACCCCCAUUGUCAGAACCACGUGGCCCAUCACAAGUUUUCACAGUGUCCUUUUAGAAUUUUUCAAUCUUUUCUCAGUUUGCUUUCUUUAUUUGUAUAUGUAUUAUUUGUGUACUUAUUGAAAACUUUAUUGUAUCUAGAUUAUAGAUUUUUUUUUUACUUUAAAGUGAUUCAUAGAUUUUACUAAUAUUAGAUAAUUUUUUACAUUAAAAAUUCGUACAUUUUUAUGAUUUUUUUAGUUUGUUAUUUCUUUUAUCAAAUUAUUUUAAUAUAAAAGUGUCGGUUCAAAUAAUUGGAAACUUAAGUGUUUAUACACUUUAUUCAAAUUGGACCAAUUCAAUGGGAUGUAAACUAAUUGGGUACUGGAAGGAUAUAUAAGAAAGUUAAAUGAACUAUUAUGAAAGACUAUUUAUAUUAAUUUUACCUUUAAAAGUUUACAUUAUGUUGAUUAAAAUAACUAAUAAGUAGAGAUAAAAUAAAUAACUUUAACUAAGGUUCACUAUAAGAAAAUCAUGAUCAUAGAAACUAAAAUAAUUAGUUGUAAUAAUAAUUAAAUUAGAGAUCAUUUUAAAAAUUAAAAAGAAAUUAGUUUUUAUUAUUGUUAAAUAGUUUAUAAAUUUGUAUCUAAUUUGCAAUUAAGGUUUUUGCUACUGAAAUUAGAAACUAAUUUAAAAACUAUUUUUUUAGUUUUUAAAAUGGUUUUCAAUUUAGUUAUUAUUGUAAUUAAUUAUUUUGGUCUUUAAAAAUUGAUUUCUAUUUUAUGAUUUUCUUGUAAGUGUCUAAACUCGAAUUUUUAUUUCAAAGAUGUUAACUUAACAUUUCAAAUCUUUCAAUUUAAUUUAAAAUAAGUUGUUAGAUGUAAACUAUGUAACAUAAAUACAGAUACGGACACUGACACGAUACGGAUAUGGAUACGGACAAAGAGAUACGUAUAAUCUGUAAAAUGUAGGACACGGGGACACGGAUCUAUAUAUUAUAUAAUUUUAAUUAUAUAAAUUGAAAAUAAAUAUUUAUGUGCAAAAGUAUGUUUCAGACUCUUUUGGGAGUAGGAAGAUAUUUUUCAUGACUGGUUCAAAAGAAUUUGUUCCUUAUUUUUAUAAUCAUAAUAAAAAUUUAUACAAUAAAUUUGAAUUUUUAGAAAAUUAUUGUAUUUAUACCUUUUAAAAUUGUGUUAGAACCGUGCUAGAAUUUUAAAAAAUUCAACAAAUUUUUUUGAAUUGAACACUUCACCAAUAAGUGUCCUAGGAGUGUUGACACCGAUACGUGUAUCCGACACGGAUACGCCUAUUUAAGAGAAGUGUCCGAGCUUCAUCCUAACUAUCAUAAAAAUGUAAGAAGAGCAUUCAUUUGGGUUUAGAUGGUAAUAUAUAUAUAUAUAUAUAUAUAUAUNNNNNNNNNNNNNNNNNNNNNNNNNNNNNNNNNNNNNNNNNNNNNNNNNNNNNNNNNNNNNNNNNNNNNNNNNNNNNNNNNNNNNNNNNNNNNNNNNNNNNNNNNNNNNNNNNNNNNNNNNNNNNNNNNNNNNNNNNNNNNNNNNNNNNNNNNNNNNNNNNNNNNNNNNNNNNNNNNNNNNNNNNNNNNNNNNNNNNNNNNNNNNNNNNNNNNNNNNNNNNNNNNNNNNNNNNNNNNNNNNNNNNNNNNNNNNNNNNNNNNNNNNNNNNNNNNNNNNNNNNNNNNNNNNNNNNNNNNNNNNNNNNNNNNNNNNNNNNNNNNNNNNNNNNNNNNNNNNNNNNNNNNNNNNNNUAUAAUAUAUACAUAUAUAUAUAUAUACAUAUAUAUAUAUAUGUAUAUAUAUAUAUACAUAUAUAUAUAUAUACAUAUAUAUAUACAUGUAUAUAUACAUACAUGUAUAUAUAUGCCUUUUUUUUUAUGUUUAUUGGAUCUGAAAAAAAAUCUAAUAAGUCAAUACAUAAGUAUAAAAUGAAUAUCAAAUUAAUUUUUUCGUCACUUAUCAUUAAAUCUUUAUACGUGUGAGUUAGUUUGAAGUGGAUCAUUUUAAACAUAAAUACAACUGAACACAGUCAUAAAUAAAACUUCAACUCAACCUAUUGAAUUAAAUUAAAUUUUGCAAAGCUUGUGUUAUUUUUAAUUAGGUUGUAUUAUUUUUUUUAAUUAGAUUAAUAUUUAAAAAUUAUAAUUUUUAACGAAAAAAAAAAUCAAAAUUUUGAUCCAAUCUUAAUCCAACCAUCUAAAAAAUGAAUUGGAUUAAUUUGUUUAAUAUGCAAAAUUUAAAAACAAACUUAACCAACCUUAUUUAUUUUUAAUUGGUUGAAUAAUAGAAUUUUCUAGAUAUACCCAAUAGGAAGCCAUUUAAAAAUUAUAAAAAAAUAAUUUUUUUUUAUCAACAAAGAAUUAAUUGAAUUAAAAUAGAUCACUUUAGAGAUGUCUCGACCCUUAAACAAAAUCCUCCAUUCUUUCCACCUCUUACUCUAAUUAAAACUAGUAGUAACCAUUACAUCAAAGUGUUACAUCUCUCGUUAUGCUUUAUAUCAACCCCACAAAUAUGACCAUUCAAAACACUGACAAAGGUUCAUAGUUGUUCCCCUUCCAAUGGCUACCCAGUAGAGUGGGAGAUGUGGAUACAACUUCAGAGUGAUUAAUCCAGCCAAGUCCCUGCACGUUCCCAGCUCAUGAUCCAAAAAACUAAGAUUUACUCCUUCAUUUUUUUGAUCAGCAACGAAUUAAUAAAAUUUAAAAGAGACACUUUAGGAGUGUCCCAACCUGUAUACAAAAGACCUUAAUGUCUAGACUGUACGCAUAAGCUAAAAAGGUUCUGCUGGACAUAAAAGAGCCAACCUAAAAACUUAUGGAUUACCCAUUUACCCCAAUAGACAAAAAAACAACACAAAAGACCCUCACUCACCACCUAAGACAGAAAACAAACUUAACCCCUAAAGAAGUCCACGAAUACCUCCAUAGCACACCAUAUCAGCACUCUACAAAACCACCAGCUCCCUCCACGCCAGAAAAAGAUAUGCUAAGUUGACGGUGUUGAGUAGCACCUGUUCUCCACCGCAGGCUCGAUACUCAACAGUCCCCUGUAACUACCACACACCAACCACGCAGCUGCUCAUCUAGAACCAGUGGAUACGGAUAGGGAACCUGCUUAACUUCUUGUGCUUUGAAUAAGACACCUGAAGCUCCAAUCUGAUAUGAAGUCUUCAAACUUGCAGGCAUUACCAGAGUACCUUAAGCAACUUACAACUCGAGACGCUCACAACCGAUGCCCUCUACAUUCACCUCGCCACGCAACGAGUUACCCAUGCACAUUGCCUUCGACGACCACCGACUACGUCCAUAAAGAGCACGCCACUUCCUCGACCGGCGAUUAUCUUUGCAUAACUUCGACGACCACCGACCGAUGAUCAUGUUAGCCUUUGCAUCACUUCGACAUCCACCGCCUACGCACGCAUUGAGAUCGCCGUUUCAUCGAGCGGUGAUUCUGUUAACCUUGUAUAACUUUGGCGACCACCGACUACAUACAUAUGGAGCACGCCGUUUCAAGUAGCUACGGCGACCACCGACUACACACAUAUGGAGAACGCCGCUUCCUCGAUCGGUGAUCAUAUUGACUAUCGCCGUUUUUAUUACCGGCGAUCAUGUUGAGCGUUGCAUCACAUCGGCGACCACCGACUACACAGAAAUGGAGAGCGCCGCUUCAUCAAUCGACGAUCAUGUUGAUAUCGCCGUUUCAAUUACCGGCGAUCAUGUUGAGCUUUGCAUAACUUCGACGACCACCGACUACACACAAAUGGAUCAUGCUGCUUCACCGAUUGACAAUCAUGUUAACCUAUGUACAGCACCACUUCACCGACCGGCGAUCAUGUUGACUUGCAUACCUUCAACGAUCACCGACUGUAGUACCAUCCUCUCCAGAUUUGCUACUUCAGAGACCUACUGUACCCAUUUCACUUCCUUUCUCCAACCAUAGUGGCUAUUACCCAGUCCUUACCCUCCUUCUUUCCAGCAGCACCACCAUUAGCCCGUCUAGCCUGCUAUAUGCCUCCCCUUGUUAUUUGAUACUGCAAAUGCAUGUCAGCGGGUUCAUAACCCAUUCUGCAUAGGAGUAACAAAAAAUAUUUUCCUUGUGUUUCAACCAUAACCACGAUUUAAGUUGGGCAUUGUGGAAAACUUCUUCUACAUCUACAACUCUUUGGUUGAAGACAAUGGAGUUUCUAUGUUCCUAUAGACAUCAGACUACAGCUGCCCACACACCUUUCCAUACCAGGUUUUGUUUAUAGGAGUGUUGGGGGAGGGAAAAACCUUCAAAAUUGGUCCUAAGAUUAUUGUGUUGGACAGACCAUAUACCAACCCAUCUAAAGCAUAAGUCCCACACCCGUACUGCAUACUUGCAUUCUAUAAAGAGGUGCUGACACGUUUCCUCCUUGGUCUGGCAAAGGGCACAUUCUGUGGUGUUCACCAUCACCCCUCUCUUGCUCAAACACUCCCUUGUUGGUAGUCUACCCAACAACACUCUCCACGCAGUGAUCAGCACAUUAGGAAACGCCUUUGUCUUCCAAAGAUAGCCAAACGGCGAUAUUUGUGUUCCUCCGUCGGGCUCUUCAAGGCAUUUAUAUGCAGACUUCACUGUAAAGUUCCCUGAUUCGUCCCUCCUCCAUACUUGCUUAUCCUGUUCAUCCUUUUUCAUAGUGACCCUGGAAAUGAGCAUACCAAGCUCGGUUUCGAGGGGGACCUCCCACUCAAAUCUGUUGCGUCUCCACCUUAGCUUCCACUGCCACACUGACUCCUCCCACAUCCCAACCUCUCCCACCGUCUGGCCCUGAUAUAGUGACAAAGAGAAUAGUCUAGGAAACAGAGCCUUAAGGCUGGCAUUCCCAGUCCAUAUAUCCUCCCAGAAUCUUGCUUGAUCUCCUUUCCCUACUUUUCAGCUAACCUCUUUUUUAAACCAACCCUCUCCCCCUCCCUGCCGGCAUACCUUUACUAAAUCUCUCCACCACCAAGAUUGAUGUUUCAGUGGGGUAUGGUUUCCAUCUUGUUCCGUACCAUACUUUGACUCCAAGCACUCUUUCCAUUUUCCUUUCUCGUUCGAUAUACAUCUCCACUUCCACUUAGCUAAAAGUGCUAUAUUAAACUUCCGGAUGUCACGAAUGCCUAAACCUCCUUCCUCCCGCGGUUUACUCCUUCAUAUCCUUAACCAAACCUAAUUUGCAGUAUCCGACAGAUCAAGAAUAUCACACUAGAAUAACUGCAACGUUCUUAGCACAUUGGCUCCCUUCUAGUUCAUUGGGUUCAAAUGGGCGCAACCAGAGGAUCUUAAUCUUCAUCACCAACAAAAGAAUAUGCCAGCAGCACCUAAAGGCAUAUAGCAUAACGCAUAUAAAAACCAGAGUAACAACAUUAUGACACACCCUUCAGAGGAACAUGCGCCUUACUUAACCAAGUUGAAACCAUUCUCACAAAGAUCCUACCCUACCCAAUUACUUGCAACUUUUGAUGCAUAGAACAUGAUUUAAAUGUCAGUCAGAAAACGAAAAAUUAAAGGCAUUGAGCAUGUAUUUCAACUAUAGCAACGAUCUAAGUUGAGCCAUUUGGAAAACUUCUUCUGCAUCACGUACACCUUGCUUAAAAAUGACCAUGUUCCUUUGAUCCUAGAUACCUCUUACUAUUGCCGCUCAUAUACCCUUCCACACUAAGUUUUGCUUGGAAUUCAAAUACACCAGAUGAAAGCUUUCAAAAUGAACCUUCAAAUCCUUAUGUUGAACGUUCAGAGUACCUAUCCACUUGUAGCAAAGAGACCAAAUGAUAUGAAUCCAAAUAGAAAUGACAGUAAAAUUGGGAAUUUAGGGUUACGGAACGGAAUAAAUUCAAAACAAUAACAAUAGAAACCUAGAUAAAGGAAGGCGCCACAAACAAAGUUUGAUAAGCCUAAGGAUGAUCACCACAAGAAUUGGUGGAUUCUUGAUAAGAUCGCAAGAUGCAGGAAAAAACCCUAGCAGAGAAACACUCUCUAAAAUUGUCAAAAUAUUCGUCCCCCUAUGUUGAGUUCCAACAAUGUAUAAAUUACAAAUUUAGCUAGAGGUCUUUUCUUGUUUGUAAGAAAAUAAGACGAUACUACAAUCCUUAUAUUUCAAGAAUGAUCAUUUGUCCCAGUGGUUAGGUUGAUACUAUGUACUUGGUCCUGAGUUCAAAUCCUAACUCCCAAUCUUGUUGUGCGUGUAAUCAAGAUCAAUCUUGUAGGUAUUGUCAUUAAUCAUUUCUAACACUUGAAAAGGUCCCGUCUAGGUUGGAGCUUGGAUUUUCUUUGUCUAGAUUACUUUCUUUCUUCCUUUGUUAACUUGUUUAGAAUAACCUUCAUCUUUUUCUUCAACUUGUGCUUCAACCUUUUUAUGCUGCUUUCUCACAUAGUCAACCUUAGCUUGUGUAUCUUUAUGCUUUAAAACAAAAAUGUUAGGCAUAGUUAACAAAUCUAUUGGAGUUAAAGGAUUUAAUCCAUACAAAAUUUCAAAUGGAUCACAAUUCGAUGUGCUGUCAACAACCAUAUUGUAAGCAAACUCAAUAUGAUGUAAACAUAAUUCUUGGAUAGCCGUCACCUUUUCAUAAUCUACAUGAACUCCUUUGGCACUUACCACAAAACACAAGAAUGCAAUUUGUUCAGUACAAAAUGUGCAUUUCUCAAGAUUAGCAUACAACUUUUCUGUUCUAAGAACAUUUAAAACAGCACACAAAUGUUCCUCAUGUAAUUCCAAACUAGUUCUAUAGAUCAAGAUAUCAUCAAAAUACACUACAAAAAAUUAGCCCAAAAAUUCUCUCAAAACAUAGUUCAUUNNNNNNNNNNNNNNNNNNNNNNNNNNNNNNNNNNNNNNNNNNNNNNNNNNNNNNNNNNNNNNNNNNNNNNNNNNNNNNNNNNNNNNNNNNNNNNNNNNNNGACAGUUUUCCAUUUAUUCCCAUUCCUAAUCCUAAUUGAUGGGUAACCACUUCUUAAGUCAAUUUUUGAAAAUAUACAACCACCAUACAAUUCAUCCAUUAAAUUAUCUAACUUGGGAAUAUGGUGUUUAUACUUAAUGGUAAUGUUAUUGAGUGCUCUGCAAUUUGUGCACAUCCUCCAAUAACCAUCAUUUUUAGGCACCAAAAUUACUGGAACAGCACAUGGGCUCAUGGUCUCUUGUACCCAUCCUUUGUUCAUCAAUUCUUCAACUUGAGUUUGGAUUUCCUGCAAAACAGAAUCAACACUAGGAAGCAAAUUAAUUUGGUUAGAAUGGUCAGCAACCAAAGUGCUGUUUUUGCAAUAAGGUAAAUAAAGAGGUUUGCUAGAAAGUAGCAACUUCUUCACUUUAUUCACUUUCAGUAAUCCACUCAUUUUUCUCUCAUGUGUUUCUUUCUUUUUAAGUGUUUCACUCUUGCUCUGUUUAGGUGUUUCACUCAUCUCUCUUUUCUCUUGGACUCUCUUUUCUCUCAAUUUGAUUUGAUCCUUACACACCUCUCUAGGAGAUAAGGGUUUGAGAAUGAUCUUCUUAUUAUUCUGCAUGAAAGAGAUUUUAUUGGUGAAACCAUCAUGAAUAGCCUUGGUGUCAAACUGCCACGGCCUCCGUAACAAAAUGUGAUUUGCCUCCAUUGGAACCACAUCACACAAGAGAUUGUCAUUAUAUUGUCCUAUGAAUAUGUGCACUUCCACUUGCUUACUCACUGUCAUCUCUCCAUCUUCACUAAGCCAUUGAAGCUUGUAUGGCAUUGGGUGCGGUUUUGUCUCCAAAUUCACUUUGGUAACUAGUCUUGAACUUGCUACAUUGGUGCAACUUCCUCCAUCAACUAUGAGUGAACAUAUUUUCCCUUGAAUGGAACAUCUAGUAUGGAAAAUAUUUUCCCUUUGGGUUUGGUCCAAAGCUUGCAUUUUGCUUCCUAAAAGCCUUCGAAUCAUCAACAAAUCACCCUCCAAUGUAUCCAACUCCACCUCUACCUCAUCCUUCUCUUCUUCACUUAAAGGUUCAUUGACUAUUUGUGUCUUUGAUAAACUGAUCAUAUUCUCUUUUUGUUGGACAUUCUGAAGCAUAAUGUCCUCUUCCCAAGCAUUUGAAACAUUUUACCUCACUUGUUUUCCUUUUAGGUGGUGAAUUACUAUAUCUAUGAGGUGACUUCCCACUUGAAGAUGUGACUAAACUUGAGGGAACUCCUUUAUCCUUCAUCGCCUUAUCCUUCCAAUUGAAAUUUUUAUUAUUUUUAGAACUCCUCAUGAUUCCCUUCCUCUUGAGUUGUUGUUCUACUUGGUUAGUCUUGUGCAACAACUCUUUCAUGUCAACAUACUCUUGCAGGUCCACAACAUCCUUAAUAUCAUGAUUGCUUCGUUUUCUUCAUUUUUUCCAGCUCUAAUCAUGGUCACCUCCAUCUCUUUAAAAUACUCUUCCACACUUCUAUUCCCUUGAGUCAUUCUUUGAAGUUUGAGUUGCAAAUCCCUAUUGUAGCUUGCUGGAAUAUAUCUCUUCCUCAUAAUCCUUUUCAUUUCUGUCCAAGUGUUCACCAUGGGUUCCUCAUAUUUAAUUCUCUCCAUUUGGUAUUUAUUCCACCAAGUUAAGGCAUAAUGUGAAAAUUCAGCUGUUGCCAACUUCAUCUUUUGCUCAUCAUUAUACUCACUGCAAGCAAACACAUGCUCUACUUUAAUUUCCCACUCCAAGUAAGCAUCAGGAUCACUUUUUCCAUUGGAUGUAGGAAUAUUUAAUUUUAUUCCAUCAAUUCUCAGAGUUCUUUGUUCUCCCUCAUUUUCUCUUCUCCUCCUCCUAUCUCCCCCUCUAUUUUCUGGAUUUACUUGUUGUGCUUGCUCCAUUUGAUCCAACCUCUCAUGGAGUCCAUCACUUUGUUGUUUCAUUAUCCUUUCCAAGUGUUGUGUUAAGGCUUGCAUCUGUACUUGAGAAAGUCCACUAUCUAACGAUUCCCCUGCCAUGCUCAAGUAAACAGAUUACAAAUAACAAUAAGUUUGGGCCUCACACCACUUUCUCACGUGUUUACACUCAACACUCGUGUUUUACACAAUAAGGUUUUUUUAAUGAUCACACUGCCUUUUACCACUCUUUCUCUACUUAAGGUUCUUACAAGAAUCAAGAAAUCAAUAAUCCAUAAUCACUUUCACUAUAGCAAUCAGAAUCAAUUAAAAAUAAUAGUAAAGAACAAAAUAGUGAAGAACAAUUUCACUAUCAACAAACAAGCAAAACAAUUAAAAAAAAUAGCAAGCAAAACAAUAUAUAGAGAAAAUAAAAUAUGUAGACAUGACACUUUUAGAACUUUUAUCAAACACCAAGUAUGCACUGAAUAAAAGCUAUUUUUUUUUCUGUUUUCCUCUUGUUCUUUUUUUUUCUAUUUCUGUUUUCCUCUUGUUCUUUUUUUUUUCUAUUUCUGUUUUCCUCUUCUUCUUCCUUUUUUUUUCUUUUUUUCUAUUUCUUUUUUUUUUUCUGUUUCUUCUUUCGUUUAAAAAAAAAAUGAACAGUACCUGUGAACAGUAACCGUGAACAGUGCCCCUGUGAAAAGUACCAGUGAACAGUACAAUGUGAAUAGUACAAUGUGAACAGUAAUGAGGAGAAAAAAAAACAGGCACAAUUAUAUUAUGACUCAAACCUUUGCUUUGAGUACCAACUGAUAUGAAUCCAAAUAGAAAUGACAGUAAAAUUGGGAAUUUAGGGUUACGGAACGGAAUAAAUUAAAAACAAUAACAAUAGAAACCUGGAUAAAGGAAGACGCCACAAACAAAGUUUGAUCAGCCUAAGGAUGAUCACUACAAGAAUUGGUGGAUUCUUGAUAAGAUCGCAAGAUGCAGGAAAAUAUCUAGCAGAGAAACACUCUCUAAAUUGUCAAAAUAUUUGUCCCCCUAUUCUGAGUUCCAACAGUGUAUAAAUUACAAAUUUAGCUAGAGGUCUUUUCUUGUUUGUAAGAAAAUAAGAUGAUACUACAAUCCUUAUAUUUGAAGAAUGAUUAUUUGUCCCAGUGGUUAGAUUGAUACUCCAGUUGGAUGUACGCAUCACCAAACCCGAGGCCUCACUAACACUCUCAUAAUUAACACUCUCAUAAUUGAUCACCUUAAGUUUGUUUCUUCUUGUUAUGGUCUUGAAAAGAGAUUAUAGUAACUUGGAUUCGAUCUUUUCUUUCAUCAAACAUAUAGUAAUAAUGGAUUUUUUAUUCUUUAUAUUUCUUUUUGUUAACAAACUAGAUACAUUUUUUUUUUCAUAAGCAAAAUAAUUUAGUAGUAAAAGAAAGCUAAACUUGAGCAUAACAUGUACGGUAAAGAAUUGAAAUGACUCCAUUAAUCAUUGAGGAUCAUAAACAAAAACGAUCAUGGUAUACAAAAUAACAACUAAUCCAAACCUAGAAAUAACAUAAGCACAAACUCUGAACUCUUAUUCUUUUAUCUCCUUCACAAACCUCUGAAGGUUCUCAUAAGAUGUACCUCCUUUUGCUAUGUUCUUCAUCACUUUCUCCUUCAACACCACACACCUACAUUUUAUGCUCUCAUCAUUAAAUAAUUGUUCCACCUUGGUUUUCAGCUCCCCGCGUGACACAACUCCAUUUUGAUCUUUGUCAAUUCCCAACCCAACCUUUAACUCAUCACAAAUAUGUGUUUUGUUGUAAGGUUGGUCUCCAAAGUAUGGCCAACACAACAAAGGUACCCCAUUGGACAAACCUUCCAUGGUAGAAUUCCAACCACAAUGAGUGACAAAACAUGCUAUGGCAGGGUGACUUAAAACCUUUUGUUGAGGUGCCCAAUUAACUAUCUUACCCUUAUGCCCUUGGAAUUCAUGAGGGUAUGCCAUUUUAUUGUCUUCUCUUAUAACCCAAAGAAAAGGUCUAUUGGUGAGGUCUAGUCCAAGGGCAAGUUCAUUGAAUUGGUUUUGGUCAAAAAGAGUGAAACUACCAAAGGCAACAUACAACACAGAACCAUCAGCUUGUUCAUCUAGCCAACUCAUGCAAGAGAGAUCUUCUUCCCAGAAUUGUC
Molecule: long non-coding RNA, 29925 nt
Filed under: Phaseolus vulgaris (common bean)
Lineage: Eukaryota; Viridiplantae; Streptophyta; Magnoliopsida; Fabales; Fabaceae
Description: long non-coding RNA (PVUL_LNC003299)
Source: RNAcentral